RNAcentral lists this ribosomal RNA (669 nucleotides) under Triticum aestivum (bread wheat). Its description in RNAcentral is "partial small subunit ribosomal RNA". Lineage: Eukaryota; Viridiplantae; Streptophyta; Magnoliopsida; Poales; Poaceae. The record is from RNAcentral.
AUGGGUUUGUCAUAUGAUUCUUUCGAAGAAGAAUUUGAUACGGAAGAGGAGGAGGAUCUUGCAAUGAUCCUAGCUAUGCACACCAAUAAAAAAUCGAAGCACGGUGAUUCGGUUAUGGGUCGGCAGAAAAUUUGGAGGGAUAGGAUUGAUGCCCACAACAGAUUGAUGAGGCACUAUUUGGUGGAGAAUCCCACAUACCCCAAGUCGUACUUUCGUCGCCGGUUUAGGAUGAGCACCGAGUUGUUCAGACGCAUUGCAGAGAAACUAGCGAGCCAUGACCGGUUUUUUCAGCAGAGGAGGAAUGCCGUCGGAGAGCUCGGGCAUAGCACCUUUCAGAAGGUGACAGCCGCUUUGCGUAUGUUGGCAUACGGUAUUCCGGCGGAUCUAGUUGAUGACCACUUGGUCAUGGGUGAGAGCCAAGUCAUCAUGUGUGUCAAGCGCUUCGCAGUUGGAAUUGUGCAAGUGUUUGGCCCGGAGUACUUGAGAACUCCCAAUACUGAAGAUGUCUCAAGGCUAUUGGAGAUGAACAAAGCUCGCGGGUUCCCAGGUAUGCUUGGCUCAAUAGAUUGCAUGCAUUGGAGUUGGAAGAAUUGUCCAAAGGCAUGGCAUGGACAAUUCCACGGACAAAAAAAAAGCACUAUAAUCCGUGCGAGUGCGGCGGAGGGCUGA